AACGAACGCUGGCGGCAUGCCUAACACAUGCAAGUCGAACGAGUCCUUCGGGUCUUUUGGCGCACGGGUGCGUAACGCGUGGGAACCUGCCUUUAGGUUCGGCAUAACUCCGCGAAUUUUGAGCUACUACCGGAUGAUGUCUUUGGACCGAAGAGUUAUCGCCUUUCGUUGGGGCCGUGUUGGAGUUGCUAUUUGGUGGGGUUAUGGCCUACCAAGGGGUCGAUCCAUAGCUGGUUGGAGAGGAUGAUCGGCCACGCCGGGACUGGGACGCGGCCCAGGCUCGUACGGGAGGAAGCAGUGAGGAAUAUUGGAGAAUGGGCGAAAGCCUGAUCCAGCAAUGCCGCGUGAGAGAUGAAGUCGUUGGUGAAGUAAAGCUCGUUUACCCGGGAGGAUAAUGACGGAGUCGGGAGAAUAAGCGCCGGCUAACUACGUG
RNAcentral lists this ribosomal RNA (433 nucleotides) under uncultured bacterium. RNAcentral describes it as "partial 16S ribosomal RNA". It matches the Rfam family "Bacterial small subunit ribosomal RNA", at positions 29 to 507 of the family's 1533-position model. The record is from RNAcentral.